Molecule: long non-coding RNA, 3066 nt
Filed under: Canis lupus familiaris (dog)
Lineage: Eukaryota; Metazoa; Chordata; Mammalia; Carnivora; Canidae
Description: lncRNA (ENSCAFG00845006552.1)
Source: RNAcentral
ACCUGCGUGGGGAGGCCUCCUGGACCCGCCUCACAGGGCCCCGCCUAAUCCGAGGAGACUGCACCGCGCGGCGCCUGGGCAGGGCUCGGGAUCCCACGACCGCGCCGUGAGGCCGGAAGGCCCGGAGGCCCGGAGGCCCCAGAGGCCUAGAGACCCAGGGGCUUAGAGACCCGCAGGCAUGGAGGCCCAGAGACCCGGAGGCACAGAGGCCAGGAGACCCAGAGGCUUAGAGACCCCGAGGCCGGGAGACCCAGAGACCCAGAGACCUACAGACCCGGAGGCACAGAGGCCCGGAGACCCCGAGGCUUAGAGACCUGCAGGCAUGGAGGCCCAUAGACCCGGAGGCCAGGAGACCCAGAGGCCUAGAGACCGGGAGACCCAGAGGCCCAGAGACCCGGAGGCCGGGAGACCCCGAGGCUUAGAGACCCGCAGGCAUGGAGGCCCAUAGACCCGGAGGCCAGGAGACCCAGAGGCCUAGAGACCGGGAGACCCAGAGGCCCAGAGACCCGGAGGCCGGGAGACCCCGAGGCUUAGAGACCCGCAGGCAUGGAGGCCCAAAGACCUGGAGGCCAGGAGACCCAGAGGCCUAGAGACCUGGAGGCACAGAGACCCGGCCUGGAGGCCCGGAGACCCAGGGGCUGGAAGGCACGGAGGCCAGGAAACCCAGAGGCCUAGAGACCCAGAGGCCUACAGACCCGGAGGCACAGAGACAGAGACCCAGAGGCCUAGAGACCCAGAGGCCAGGAGACCCAGAGGCCUACAGACCCAGAGGCACAGAGGCCUGGAGACUUGGACGCACAGAGACCCGGAGACCCAGAGGCAGGCCUAGAGACCCAAAGGCCGGGAGACCUAGAGGCCUAGAGGCCUAGAGACCCAAAGGCCGGGAGACCCAGAGGCCUAGAGACCCGGAGGCCAGGAGACCCAGAGGCUUAGAGACCCUCAAGCAUGGAGGCCCAGAGACCCGGAGACGGGGCGGGGACCCGGAGGCCGAAUGCCCAGAGACUCAGAGGCCUAGAGACUCGGAGGCACGCGCAUGUCACCCGCGUGUCAAAAAGGCAUCAUGGUGUCUGGCUUAAAAAGCAGUAACUAAUUGUUCCGAUUUCUAGUAGCACGUUAAUUGUGGCGUUUAAUUUACUGUUUUCCUCAUUAGAGGUUUUUAGUUUUGAGGAAGCGAUGCUGCGUUUCAGUCACGCUGGGAUGAAAAUAGCCUAGCAAACUUAUUUUUGUUCCUAGUCGCCUUCAGCAUCCUUCGUGCCAGUUCUACAGUCAUUAAGUUUUACAACGUGUUAGGUUGGUGGCAGUUUAAACAGAUACACAGGAUUUUGGCAAUCUGUUCCAUUUUUAAAAUAAAGAUUAGUGCUUUUUCCUUUUUCCUUUUUUUUUCUUUUUUUCCCUAAGUACCUUAACUUUUGGACAUACCUUCUGCCUUCCUUUUUAACCAGAACUCUUCCCCCCCACACACCCCCACCCCCCGCGGUGAUGAGAAGAAAAGUAUGUGCUGGUCACCAGAGGAAAAGCAAAGAUCAUAAACCCUGCCAACAAAGCACAUGAGAAAGCUUUCCCGGUUUGGGAUGAUACAUUUGAAACAAAUAGCCAUUGUGUACUCAGGGUUAUGCAAAUUCUUGUCAGACUAGCUGUAACUUCUAUGAACCACCCUCAAAAAAGAAAAAAAAAUCAGAAUGCAAGUUCAUGAAAGUGAAGAUAUGGGGCAACAAAUAUUUUAUUUAUUUAUGCAUGAGAGACAGAUAGAAAGAGAGGCAGAGACACAGGCAGAGGGAGACGCAAGCUCCAUGCUGGGAACCGACAUGGGACUCGAUCACAGGUCUCCAGGAUCACACCCUGGGCCGAAGGCGGCACUAAACUGCUGAACCACCCGGGCUGCCCGAGAUUUAUUUCUUAUUCCAAAAUGUUGGCUCUGGCUGCAGUGAACUGUCUUCCAUGUGAUGACAUGAUAAUCUAGGCUCUUUCAACUGUUAUGCCCAAGAUUGGGAAUCCGAGAAACCACCAAGGAGCUGGCACCGAUAUUUUAUUUAUUCAUGAGAGACACACAGAGAGAGGCAGAGACAUAGGCAGAGGGAGAAGCAGACCCUCUGCAGAAAGCCUGAUGCAGGACUCCAGCCCAAGACCCGGGAUCACGCCCUGAAGGGAAUGCUCAACCACUGAGCCACCCAGGCAUCCUGAAUUAAACUUUUUCAUCAAAUGAAUUCACAGUGGAUUUCCAGUGUUCAGUUGAGAUAUAUGCAGAGAGAAGCAGAGGGAGAAGCAGGCUCCCUGCAGGGAGCCCGAUGUGGGGCUCGAUCCCGGAUCCUGAGAUCACACCCUGAGCCAAAGGCAGACGCUCAACUGCUGAGCCACCCAGGCAUCCCUGUAUGCACAAUAUUAAAGAAAUUACUACCUAUGUUUUUUUCUAGAAGUUUUAUGGUUUCAUGCCUCACAUUUAGGUACUUAAUCCAUUUUAAAUUUAUUUUUGUGUAUGGUAUAAGAAACUGGUCCUGUUUUAUUCUUUGGUAUAUAGCUGUCCGGAUUUUCCAGCACCAUUUAUUGAAGAUUCUGUGUUUUCCCCAUUGUAUAUUCUUGCCUCCUUCAUGGUAGAUUAAUUGACAAUAUAAGUGUGGGUUUAUUUCUGAGCUCUCUAUUCUGUUCUAUUGAUCUGUGUGUCUAUUUUUGUGCCAUGCCUAAGACCACUUUUGAUGAAGCCAUCACAGAACUUAAUGCACUGAAUGAAGACUCAAACAAAGCACCCUUAUAAUGCAGUAGCUUAGUGACAACCUAACAUUGUGGACAUUGGACAAUGCAGAAGAAGAAUGUGAGGUACAGAAGGGGCAGAAAACUAAAUGUAUUCAGGGUGUUAUCCUUUUUUCCUUCAAGAAACCUUUCUACAUGUCUCCAUUCCUUGGAUUUUCUUUUUUUUCUUUAUUUAAUUUUUCUUUAUUUUUAAAAAAGAUUUUAUUUAUUUAUUUGAGAGAGAGCAAGAGAGAGCACAAGCAGAGGAGAGAGACAGAGGGAGAGCAGGGAACCCGACUUAGGGCUCCCUCCCAGGACCCUGAGAUCAUGACCUGAGCUGAA